GACGAACGCUGGCGGCGUGCUUAACACAUGCAAGUCGAACGGAAAGGCCCUGCUUUUGUGGGGUGCUCGAGUGGCGAACGGGUGAGUAACACGUGAGUAACCUGCCCUUGACUUUGGGAUAACUUCAGGAAACUGGGGCUAAUACCGGAUAGGAGCUCCUGCUGCAUGGUGGGGGUUGGAAAGUUUCGGCGGUUGGGGAUGGACUCGCGGCUUAUCAGCUUGUUGGUGGGGUAGUGGCUUACCAAGGCCUUGACGGGUAGCCGGCCUGGAAGGGUGACCGGCCACAUUAGGACGGGGAUGCGGCCCAGACCCCUACGGGAGGCAGCAGUGGGGAAUAUUGCACAAUGGGCGGAAGCCUGAUGCAGCAACGCCGCGUGCGGGAUGACGGCCUUCGGGUUGUAAACCGCUUUCGCCUGUGACGAAGCGUGAGUGACGGUAAUGGGUAAAGAAGCACCGGCUAACUACGUG
This 468-nucleotide ribosomal RNA is filed under the name uncultured bacterium. RNAcentral's name for it is "partial 16S ribosomal RNA". It matches the Rfam family "Bacterial small subunit ribosomal RNA", at positions 28 to 507 of the family's 1533-position model. The record is from RNAcentral.